GACGAACGCUGGCGGCGUGCUUAACACAUGCAAGUCGAACGGAAAGGCCCUGCUUUUGUGGGCUGCUCGAGUGGCGAACGGGGGAGUAACACGUGAGUAACCUGUCACUGACUUUGGGAUAUCCUCAGGCAACUGGGGCUAAUACCGGAUAGGAGCUACUGCCGCAGGGUGGGGGUUGGAAAGUUUCGGCGGUUGGGGAUGGAAUCGCGUCUUAACAGCUUGUUGGGGGGGUAGUGGCUUACCAAGGCUUUGCCGGGUAGCCGGCCUGAGAGGGUGACCGGCCACAUUGGGCCUGAGAUACGGCCCAGACUCCUACGGGAGGCAGCAGUGGAGAAUAUUGCACAAUGGGCGGAAGCCUGAUGCAGCAACGCCGCGUGCGGGAUGACGGCCUUCGGGUUGUAAUCCGCUUUCGCCUGUGACGAAGCGUGAGUGACGGUAAUGGGUAAAGAAGCACCGGCUAACUACGUG
This 468-nucleotide ribosomal RNA is filed under the name uncultured bacterium. Its description in RNAcentral is "partial 16S ribosomal RNA". It matches the Rfam family "Bacterial small subunit ribosomal RNA", at positions 28 to 507 of the family's 1533-position model. The record is from RNAcentral.